Long non-coding RNA from Octopus sinensis (East Asian common octopus), 284 nucleotides. RefSeq lists it as uncharacterized. The transcript has 2 exons. NCBI's taxonomy places the organism in Eukaryota, Metazoa, Mollusca, Cephalopoda, Octopoda, Octopodidae. The record is from RefSeq and is a predicted model, not a curated record.
AUUUAUUUUCAUUUUAGUACCUAAGGUAUCUGCCACUAGUUAGAAUCUUAAACCAACUAUUAUUAUAGGGUACUCUUGGUUAUUCCUAUGUGAAUAAACCAAACAACAGAAGUAGAUAAUUUGUAGCAACAGGUUAAAUUACUACAAUUACUAAAUUGCCAGAACCUAGCAAUAUGUUAUUGUCUGGACAAUACUGAUUUAAAAUUUAGGAACUAAAAUAUGAAGUGAGUUUUAAAAAGGAGAGGACUUCUAAUUUGAACAAUAAAAUGACAGAAUUACUGUAA